GAUGAACGCUGGCGGCGCGCCUAACACAUGCAAGUCGAACGAGCGAGAGAGAGCUUGCUUUCUCGAGCGAGUGGCGAACGGGUGAGUAACGCGUGAGGAACCUGCCUCAAAGAGGGGGACAACAGUUGGAAACGACUGCUAAUACCGCAUAAGCCCACGGCUCGGCAUCGAGCAGAGGGAAAAGGAGCAAUCCGCUUUGAGAUGGCCUCGCGUCCGAUUAGCUAGUUGGUGAGGUAACGGCCCACCAAGGCGACGAUCGGUAGCCGGACUGAGAGGUUGAACGGCCACAUUGGGACUGAGACACGGCCCAGACUCCUACGGGAGGCAGCAGUGGGGAAUAUUGCACAAUGGGGGAAACCCUGAUGCAGCGACGCCGCGUGGAGGAAGAAGGUCUUCGGAUUGUAAACUCCUGUUGUUGAGGAAGAUAAUGACGGUACUCAACAAGGAAGUGACGGCUAACUACGUGCCAGCAGCCGCGGUAAAACGUAGGUCACAAGCGUUGUCCGGAAUUACUGGGUGUAAAGGGAGCGCAGGCGGGAAGACAAGUUGGAAGUGAAAUCCAUGGGCUCAACCCAUGAACUGCUUUCAAAACUGUUUUUCUUGAGUAGUGCAGAGGUAGGCGGAAUUCCCGGUGUAGCGGUGGAAUGCGUAGAUAUCGGGAGGAACACCAGUGGCGAAGGCGGCCUACUGGGCACCAACUGACGCUGAGGCUCGAAAGUGUGGGUAGCAAACAGGAUUAGAUACCCUGGUAGUCCACACUGUAAACGAUGAUUACUAGGUGUUGGAGGAUUGACCCCUUCAGUGCCGCAGUUAACACAAUAAGUAAUCCACCUGGGGAGUACGACCGCAAGGUUGAAACUCAAAGGAAUUGACGGGGGCCCGCACAAGCAGUGGAGUAUGUGGUUUAAUUCGACGCAACGCGAAGAACCUUACCAAGUCUUGACAUCCCUUGACGAUGCUGGAAACAGUAUUUCUCUUCGGAGCAAGGAGACAGGUGGUGCAUGGUUGUCGUCAGCUCGUGUCGUGAGAUGUUGGGUUAAGUCCCGCAACGAGCGCAACCCUUAUGGUCAGUUACUACGCAAGAGGACUCUGGCCAGACUGCCGUUGACAAAACGGAGGAAGGUGGGGAUGACGUCAAAUCAUCAUGCCCUUUAUGACUUGGGCUACACACGUACUACAAUGGCGUUAAACAAAGAGAAGCAAGACCGCGAGGUGGAGCAAAACUCAGAAACAACGUCCCAGUUCGGACUGCAGGCUGCAACUCGCCUGCACGAAGUCGGAAUUGCUAGUAAUCGCAGAUCAGCAUGCUGCGGUGAAUACGUUCCCGGGCCUUGUACACACCGCCC
Molecule: ribosomal RNA, 1346 nt
Filed under: uncultured bacterium
Lineage: Bacteria
Description: 16S ribosomal RNA
Rfam family: Bacterial small subunit ribosomal RNA
Source: RNAcentral